CAGAACGAACGCUGGCGGCGUGCCUAACACAUGCAAGUCGUGCGAGAAAGUCUCCUUCGGGAGGCGAGUAAAGCGGCGCACGGGUGAGUAACACGUGGGUAACCUGCCCCCGAGACUGGGACAACCCAGGGAAACCCGGGCUAAUACCAGAUACGGCCUCGGGAUCUUCGGAUCCCGGGGGGGAAAUGAUGGCCUCUGCUUGCAAGCCAUCGCUCGAGGAUGGGCCCGCGGCCCAUUAGCUAGUUGGUGGGGUAAUGGCUCACCAAGGCAAUGAUGGGUAGCUGGUCUGAGAGGAUGAUCAGCCACACUGGGACUGAGACACGGCCCAGACUCCUACGGGAGGCAGCAGUGGGGAAUUUUGGGCAAUGGGCGAAAGCCUGACCCAGCAACGCCGCGUGCAGGAUGAAGGCCCUCGGGUCGUAAACUGCUGUCGGGAGGGAAGAAAAGCAGCGGAAGGAAAUGGCCGCUGCCUGACGGUACCUCCAAAGGAAGCGCCGGCUAACUCCGUGCCAGCAGCCGCGGUAA
This 525-nucleotide ribosomal RNA is filed under the name uncultured Green Bay ferromanganous micronodule bacterium MND4. RNAcentral describes it as "bacterial SSU rRNA". It matches the Rfam family "Bacterial small subunit ribosomal RNA", at positions 25 to 523 of the family's 1533-position model. The record is from RNAcentral. Lineage: Bacteria; Deltaproteobacteria.